UGAGGAAUAUUGGUCAAUGGGCGGAAGUCUGAACCAGCCAAGUAGCGUGCAGGACGACGGCCCUAUGGGUUGUAAACUGCUUUUGUAUGGGGAUAAAGUCAAGGACGUGUCCCUGUUUGCAGGUACCAUAUGAAUAAGGACCGGCUAAUUCCGUGCCAGCAGCCGCGGUAAUACGGAAGGUUCGGGCGUUAUCCGGAUUUAUUGGGUUUAAAGGGAGCGUAGGCUGGAGAUUAAGUGUGUUGUGAAAAGUAGACGCUCAACGUCUGACUUGCAGCGCAUACUGGUUUCCUUGAGUACGCACAACGUUGGCGGAAUUCGUCGUGUAGCGGUGAAAUGCUUAGAUAUGACGAAGAACUCCGAUUGCGAAGGCAGCUGACGGGAGCGCAACUGACGCUGAAGCUCGAAGGUGCGGGUAUCGAACAGGAUUAGAUACCCUGGUAGUCCGCACAGUAAACGAUGGAUGCCCGCUGUUGGUACCUGGUAUCAGCGGCUAAGCGAAAGCAUUAAGCAUCCCACCUGGGGAGUACGCCGGCAACGGUG
RNAcentral lists this ribosomal RNA (540 nucleotides) under uncultured bacterium. RNAcentral's name for it is "bacterial SSU rRNA". It matches the Rfam family "Bacterial small subunit ribosomal RNA", at positions 355 to 896 of the family's 1533-position model. The record is from RNAcentral.